CUGGGACCAGGCAGUGCUGUACUUGGCAGACUGUACAUGCUACAAUGUGCAAGACACAGGUUCAAGCCCCUGGUCUUCUCCUGCAUGGAGGGGAAGGAGGAGGAGCUUCACAAGCGGUAAGGAAGAAGAAAAUGGACAUUUAAUUGUGGCCACAAUGUCCUAAUGAGAAACAUAAGCUUGGAAUCAUAUCUCGGCUUCGAGCCACUGAAGCAGAUGUACAAUUUUAAAGAAUUUAAAAGAAUUCAUCACAGCUGCGAGAAUGUAGUCUAUGGACAUUCCCAUUUAAGCAACUAUUAAUGCAAUUGACUCAGCUAAUUUGACUUGUUUGGUAAGAAAAUACCCAUGUAGAUGUGAACAGAAGAGGAAUGCUCAAAUCUGUCCAAGAAUAAAGACAACAGCAGGGACAUUCACUGAUACACC
Long non-coding RNA from Erinaceus europaeus (western European hedgehog), 420 nucleotides. RefSeq lists it as uncharacterized. The record is from RefSeq and is a predicted model, not a curated record. The transcript has 2 exons. NCBI's taxonomy places the organism in Eukaryota, Metazoa, Chordata, Mammalia, Eulipotyphla, Erinaceidae.